UACGGAGGGUGCAAGCAUUAAUCGGAAUUAUUGGGCGUAAAGGGCGCGUAGGCGGAUCUGUAAGUCAGGUGUGAAAUUCCGAAGCUCAACUUCGGAGCUGCAUUUGAAACUACAAAUCUAGAGGGAUGGCGGAGAAAAUGGAAUUCCACAAGUAGCGGUGAAAUGCGUAGAUAUGUGGAAGAACACCGGUGGCGAAGGCGGUUUUCUAGCUUUCUCCUGACGCUGAGGCGCGAAAGCAAGGGGAGCAAACAGG
RNAcentral lists this ribosomal RNA (253 nucleotides) under uncultured bacterium. RNAcentral describes it as "partial 16S ribosomal RNA". It matches the Rfam family "Bacterial small subunit ribosomal RNA", at positions 524 to 776 of the family's 1533-position model. The record is from RNAcentral.